Molecule: long non-coding RNA, 658 nt
Organism: Vidua chalybeata
Lineage: Eukaryota; Metazoa; Chordata; Aves; Passeriformes; Viduidae
Exons: 5
Source: RefSeq, a predicted model, not a curated record
UCAAAACCCAAGACCAAGACAAACCUGGAUAUUUUUAGAGACAACUUUUUAAUCAAAAGUAGGAUGUUCUGGAAUUUCAGUGCACUUCAAGGAAUUGCAGAAGCAUAGACUGGAUAAUGCUGAAUUAAAGUGUCAGCUCUAUUGUCUUCUGAUCAAUAAGAUCCCUUAAAGAACCCAGAGACACAGACAAAAGAAGAAAAGACUGUGCUGAAUUUUAAGUGAUCUGAAUUUGGCUGAGGAUGAGCAAGCAGCUGUAGCCUUCAAACAUUCUUCUCGAGAAUUCUACAGGAAGUCUGAGCAAAAGAGAGUACCUGAUUAAUCACCCUGUCCCAAACCAGCCACAGGAAGUCAUUGCUUCUGGAUGGGUCUGACUUUUGUAAUAAUGAAGGGAUCAAGAGCAGUGGUGCCAGUAACAGCCAAGCUGAGAGGGAGCCCGGCUGAGCCCAAAGGUGCACAAGGGAGUGGUAGGAAAAUGACAACCCCACAGCGCUUUUGUUCCCAGUGGUAAACACCUUUUUGGAGUUCAACACAGAAAUACCUAUGUUCAAGGUAGUCAGCAUUGAAGUGGGGGCUCUUGUUUUGAGAAUCCUUCAGACUGAACCUCUGUCUGUAUGCAGAAUCAAACAAAUUCAAGCAGAAGAUCUCAAAAGAAUGAGGU